Molecule: ribosomal RNA, 315 nt
Filed under: uncultured Hymenobacter sp.
Lineage: Bacteria; Pseudomonadati; Bacteroidota; Cytophagia; Cytophagales; Hymenobacteraceae
Description: bacterial SSU rRNA
Rfam family: Bacterial small subunit ribosomal RNA
Source: RNAcentral
GUGGCGCACGGGUGCGUAACGCGUAACCAACCUGCCCUGAACUGGGGGAUAGCCCGCCGAAAGGCGGAUUAAUACCGCAUAAACCAACAGCGUGGCAUCACGCAAUUGGUAAAGAUUUAUUGGUUCAGGAUGGGGUUGCGUGACAUUAGCUAGAUGGCGGGGUAACGGCUCACCAUGGCGACGAUGUCUAGGGGACCUGAGAGGGUGAUCCCCCACACUGGCACUGAGAUACGGGCCAGACUCCUACGGGAGGCAGCAGUAGGGAAUAUUGGGCAAUGGGCGAGAGCCUGACCCAGCCAUGCCGCGUGCAGGAUG